This is a long non-coding RNA of Strigops habroptila (Kakapo), 171 nucleotides long. RefSeq lists it as uncharacterized. The record is from RefSeq and is a predicted model, not a curated record. NCBI's taxonomy places the organism in Eukaryota, Metazoa, Chordata, Aves, Psittaciformes, Psittacidae. The transcript is spliced from 3 exons.
AGAGGAAAAGGAGGAUGACUUGAGGAGGUAGCUGGUCUCUUCUCCCAAGGAACAAGUGACAGGACAAGAGGAAAUGGUGUCAAGCUGUGCCAGAGAAGGUUUAGAUGGAUAUUAGGAAGAAUUUCUUCACCAAAAGGGUGGUCAGGCAUUGGAACAGGCUGCCCAGGGAAG